UACGUAGGGUGCAAGCGUUGUCCGGAAUUACUGGGCGUAAAGCGCACGUAGGCGGCUUUGUAAGUUAGAGGUGAAAGCCCGGAGCUCAACUCCGGAAUUGCCUUUAAGACUGCAUCGCUAGAAUUGUGGAGAGGUGAGUGGAAUUCCGAGUGUAGAGGUGAAAUUCGUAGAUAUUCGGAAGGACACCAGUGGCGAAGGCGACUCACUGGACACAUAUUGACGCUGAGGUGCGAAAGCGUGGGGAGCAAACAGG
RNAcentral lists this ribosomal RNA (253 nucleotides) under uncultured bacterium. RNAcentral's name for it is "partial 16S ribosomal RNA". It matches the Rfam family "Bacterial small subunit ribosomal RNA", at positions 524 to 776 of the family's 1533-position model. The record is from RNAcentral.